CAGUAGCCGCGGUAAAACGAGGGGGGCAAGCGUUGCUCGGAAUUAUUGGGCGUAAAGGGUGCGUAGGCGGUUUGGCAAGUCUUGUGUGAAAUCUUCGGGCUCAACCCGAAGCCUGCACGAGAAACUGCCGGGCUUGAGUAUUGGAGAGGUGAGUGGAAUUUCCGGUGUAGCGGUGAAAUGCGUAGAUAUCGGAAGGAACACCUGUGGCGAAAGCGGCUCACUGGACAAUAACUGACGCUGAUGCACGAAAGCUAGGGGAGCAAACAGGAUUAGAUACCCCGGUAGUCCCUGUCUCUUAUAC
RNAcentral lists this ribosomal RNA (301 nucleotides) under uncultured bacterium. Its description in RNAcentral is "partial 16S ribosomal RNA". It matches the Rfam family "Bacterial small subunit ribosomal RNA", at positions 509 to 807 of the family's 1533-position model. The record is from RNAcentral.